AGUAAUUUGACAAAUAAUUCAGUGCACCAGAUAUUGAGCUCAACAGUGACUGCCCAUUUUUAGAACGCCUCUGGUUCUGGAAGUGAAUUUCCUUUUCAUUCAGUUUAUCUACUCAUGUGUCUAUUAAUGAUGAAUUAAAAGCAGAUCCUCGCACAUGCAUUGGUGUGGCAGUGUCCACAGCCGGGAAGAAAGGUGCACAGAGAAAAGCUUCACUUUUUAAAGAAGCUGGCAAUGGCAUUCCUUCCAUCUUGUCUAUGCCUUUUCGGAUCCAGGAAGCACAGCCACUGCAGACAGGAUAAGUUCCAGGGGACCGUAAAUCUGCUCCUGUGACAGGAGCCCGACAUGAAGUAGCCAGAAAGUGGCGCAACAUCACUGCUGACAUGUCAUCCUGACCCAAGAGAUGUAGAAAAAGGAAAUGCACAAGGGUUUAUGCUGUGCACAAUGUUUGGAUGAAUCAAAACAGUCCCUCGCACUAUUUGAGGCACUGGAUCUGAGGACCACGCUCGUUGGUCUGCUGCUCCUCGGGGAACUGGUCGAUGUUUGGGUCCUAUCUGAUCAGAGUCUGGGGUUCUGUGUCCAUGGAGGGCGGUCCUCUGGUGAGACGGGAUGGCUUGACAAACACACCGUGGCCCUGGGGGCAGCGGAAGUACACCCUGCCUUGGACGGUCCCGUUGUGUUUACCUACGGGAGCGUCAAGCAUCAUUUAGGUUUCUACCAACGGACUUAAUCUCAGAAGCAAAAUCUUUAAAGGGACUCACCCACUGCCAUGUCCAGCUUCACACCAAUCCAGAUGCCCUUCGCAAACUCGACCCCUCCAACAUAGUGGACUGUUCCUCUCCUCUUCCCCACCCACACCUGCUCC
Molecule: long non-coding RNA, 862 nt
Organism: Scophthalmus maximus (turbot)
Lineage: Eukaryota; Metazoa; Chordata; Actinopteri; Pleuronectiformes; Scophthalmidae
Exons: 5
Source: RefSeq, a predicted model, not a curated record